CGUGAGAUGUUGGGUUAAGUUCCCGCAACGAGCGCAACCCUUGUCCUUUGUUGCCAGCGGGUAAAGCCGGGAACUCAAAGGAGACUGCCAGUGACAAACUGGAGGAAGGCAGGGAUGACGUCAAGUCAUCAUGGCCCUUACGGUCAGGGCUACACACGUGCUACAAUGGGGCGUACAGAGGGAAACGAUACCGCGAGGUGGAGUGGAACCCAAAAAGCGUCCCUAAGUUCGGAUUGGAGUCUGCAACUCGACUCCAUGAAGUCGGAUCGCUAGUAAUCGA
Molecule: ribosomal RNA, 280 nt
Filed under: uncultured bacterium
Lineage: Bacteria
Description: partial 16S ribosomal RNA
Rfam family: Bacterial small subunit ribosomal RNA
Source: RNAcentral